This 530-nucleotide ribosomal RNA is filed under the name Micromonospora saelicesensis. Its description in RNAcentral is "bacterial SSU rRNA". It matches the Rfam family "Bacterial small subunit ribosomal RNA", at positions 31 to 579 of the family's 1533-position model. The record is from RNAcentral. Lineage: Bacteria; Bacillati; Actinomycetota; Actinomycetes; Micromonosporales; Micromonosporaceae.
GAACGCUGGCGGCGUGCUUAACACAUGCAAGUCGAGCGGAAAGGCCCUUCGGGGUACUCGAGCGGCGAACGGGUGAGUAACACGUGAGCAACCUGCCCCAAGCUUUGGGAUAACCCUCGGAAACGGGGGCUAAUACCGAAUAUUACUUCUGGCCGCAUGGCUGGGGGUGGAAAGUUUUUCGGCUUGGGAUGGGCUCGCGGCCUAUCAGCUUGUUGGUGGGGUGAUGGCCUACCAAGGCGACGACGGGUAGCCGGCCUGAGAGGGCGACCGGCCACACUGGGACUGAGACACGGCCCAGACUCCUACGGGAGGCAGCAGUGGGGAAUAUUGCACAAUGGGCGGAAGCCUGAUGCAGCGACGCCGCGUGAGGGAUGACGGCCUUCGGGUUGUAAACCUCUUUCAGCAGGGACGAAGCGGAAGUGACGGUACCUGCAGAAGAAGCGCCGGCCAACUACGUGCCAGCAGCCGCGGUAAGACGUAGGGCGCGAGCGUUGUCCGGAUUUAUUGGGCGUAAAGAGCUCGUAGGCGGC